UGGACUUGGAAAACAACUUCCUGUAGAAAAUUGGGUUCUUGCACCAUCAUGGCUGAGAAAAUAUGGGGUGCCUUAACAAUCCUAGAACAUGUCUGGCAGAUAGGAAAAAUGGUUGUAUAGAUUAAAAUUAAUUCAUUAUUAGUUAUGGAUUUGUUGACUAACAGCUCCAUGAAGCAAUACUCUUAUAAUGGUCUCCUCAGACAUGGUAAAUCCCUUAUGCAAAGGGACUGGAGGAUUAAGCUAUCACAUAUCCACAAAACGGGAAUUUUAUAACUCAUUGGUUGGCUAAGUUGUCUCAGAUUUAAUGACUCUUUAGUUUAUUAAUCUUUCCCACCAUUGGAAUGUAUGCAUCUUGUAUAUAUGGCAAGAUUUUGUAGGAGUUUCAUUCCCCCAAAAAAAAAGUCAUAUAUAUAAGAAAAAAAUAACAUUUU
Molecule: long non-coding RNA, 431 nt
Filed under: Glycine max (soybean)
Lineage: Eukaryota; Viridiplantae; Streptophyta; Magnoliopsida; Fabales; Fabaceae
Description: long non-coding RNA (GMAX_LNC003553)
Source: RNAcentral